GUGGUUUAAUUCGAUGCAAAGCGAAGAACCUUACCAAGGCUUGACAUACUGGCUCAAGCUAAUGUGAAAGCAUUUUGUGCUGUAAGGCUUGCCUUACAUAGUCAGUACAGGUGCUGCAUGGCUGUCGUCAGCUCGUGCCGUGAGGUGUCCGGUUAAGUCCGGUAACGAGCGCAACCCCUAUGUUUAGUUGCCAGCACGUAAGGUGGGAACUCUAAAGAGACUGCCGGCGACAAGCCGGAGGAAGGCGGGGACGACGUCAAGUCAUCAUGGCCCUUAUGCCUUGGGCUACACACAUGCUACAAUGGCGGAUACAAUGGGUUGCCAAACUGUGAAGUGGAGCCAAUCCCAUCAAAGUCCGUCCCAGUUCGAAUUGCAGGCUGCAACUCGCCUGCAUGAAGUUUGAAUCGCUAGUAAUCGUGGAUCAGCACUGCCACGGUGAAUACGUUCCCGGGCCUUGCACACACCGCCCGUCACACCACGAAAGUCGGUUCUACCCGAAGUGGUUGAGCUAACCCGCAAGGGGGGCAGACUCCUAAGGUAGGGCUGGUGAUUGGGGUGAAGUCGUAACAAGGUAGCCGUA
RNAcentral lists this ribosomal RNA (580 nucleotides) under uncultured delta proteobacterium. RNAcentral's name for it is "bacterial SSU rRNA". It matches the Rfam family "Bacterial small subunit ribosomal RNA", at positions 941 to 1504 of the family's 1533-position model. The record is from RNAcentral. Lineage: Bacteria; Deltaproteobacteria.